UAGGAUAGAGGCCUACCAUGGUUUUAACGGGUAACGGGGAAUUAGGGUUCGAUUCCGGAGAGGGAGCCUGAGAAACGGCUACCACAUCCAAGGAAGGCAGCAGGCGCGCAAAUUACCCAAUCCCGACACGGGGAGGUAGUGACAAUAAAUAACAAUACGGGGCUCAUUUGGGUCUCGUAAUUGGAAUGAGUACAAUUUAAAUCUCUUAACGAGGAACAAUUGGAGGGCAAGUCUGGUGCCAGCAGCCGCGGUAAUUCCAGCUCCAAUAGCGUAUAUUAAAGUUGUUGCAGUUAAAAAGCUCGUAGUUGAACUUCGGGGUUUACCCAUUGGUCAGGCUUAAUUGUCUGUACUGGUGAGAUAAAUCUCUACCUUCUGAGGAACUUUCAUGUCAUUAAUUUGGUGUGAUUGGAAAUCAGGACUGUUACUUUGAAAAAAUUAGAGUGUUUAAAGCAGGCUAACGUCUGAAUACAUUAGCAUGGAAUAAUGAGAUAGGACGGAUUGAUUCUAUUUCGUUGGUUUCUAGGGUCACCGUAAUGAUUAAUAGGGAUAGUUGGGGGCAUUAGUAUUCAAUUGUCAGAGGUGAAAUUCUUGGAUUUAUUGAAGACUAACUACUGCGAAAGCAUUUGCCAAGGAUGUUUUCAUUAAUCAAGAACGAAAGUUAGGGGAUCGAAGACGAUCAGAUACCGUCGUAGUCUUAACCAUAAACUAUGCCGAC
This 715-nucleotide ribosomal RNA is filed under the name uncultured fungus. RNAcentral describes it as "SSU rRNA". It matches the Rfam family "Eukaryotic small subunit ribosomal RNA", at positions 329 to 1046 of the family's 1831-position model. Lineage: Eukaryota; Fungi. The record is from RNAcentral.